RNAcentral lists this ribosomal RNA (600 nucleotides) under Bordetella petrii. RNAcentral describes it as "bacterial SSU rRNA". It matches the Rfam family "Bacterial small subunit ribosomal RNA", at positions 790 to 1395 of the family's 1533-position model. The record is from RNAcentral. Lineage: Bacteria; Pseudomonadati; Pseudomonadota; Betaproteobacteria; Burkholderiales; Alcaligenaceae.
GUAGUCCACGCCUAAACGAUGUCAACUAGCUGUUGGGGACUUCGGUCCUUGGUAGCGCAGCUAACGCGUGAAGUUGACCGCCUGGGGAGUACGGUCGCAAGAUUAAAACUCAAAGGAAUUGACGGGGACCCGCACAAGCGGUGGAUGAUGUGGAUUAAUUCGAUGCAACGCGAAAAACCUUACCUACCCUUGACAUGUCUGGAAUGCCGAAGAGAUUUGGCAGUGCUCGCAAGAGAACCGGAACACAGGUGCUGCAUGGCUGUCGUCAGCUCGUGUCGUGAGAUGUUGGGUUAAGUCCCGCAACGAGCGCAACCCUUGUCAUUAGUUGCUACGAAAGGGCACUCUAAUGAGACUGCCGGUGACAAACCGGAGGAAGGUGGGGAUGACGUCAAGUCCUCAUGGCCCUUAUGGGUAGGGCUUCACACGUCAUACAAUGGUCGGGACAGAGGGCUGCCAACCCGCAAGGGGGAGCCAAUCCCAGAAACCCGAUCGUAGUCCGGAUCGCAGUCUGCAACUCGACUGCGUGAAGUCGGAAUCGCUAGUAAUCGCGGAUCAGCAUGUGGGCGGUGAAUACGUUCCCGGGUCUUGUACACUCCCUCU